GACGAACCGUGCAAACGUUGUUCGGAAUCACUGGGCUUAAAGGGCGCGUAGGCGGGGGUGUAAGUCUGGGGUGAAAUCUUUCGGCUCAACCGGAAAAGUGCCUCGGAUACUGCAUCUCUUGAGGAAGGUAGGGGUCGAUGGAACUUCCGGUGGAGCGGUGAAAUGCGUAGAUAUCGGAAGGAACGCCGGUGGCGAAAGCGAUCGACUGGACCUUUUCUGACGCUGAGGCGCGAAAGCCAGGGUAGCGAACGGG
RNAcentral lists this ribosomal RNA (253 nucleotides) under uncultured bacterium. RNAcentral's name for it is "partial 16S ribosomal RNA". It matches the Rfam family "Bacterial small subunit ribosomal RNA", at positions 524 to 776 of the family's 1533-position model. The record is from RNAcentral.